Molecule: long non-coding RNA, 964 nt
Filed under: Daucus carota (carrot)
Lineage: Eukaryota; Viridiplantae; Streptophyta; Magnoliopsida; Apiales; Apiaceae
Description: long non-coding RNA (DCAR_LNC006631)
Source: RNAcentral
UGAACUUUUAAGUGAAGUUAUGAGGUCAGGCCUUUGACCUGAUAUAAUCGUGAUUUGAACACUGCAUCUGUUUAUUCUUAGUAGUCUAGCUUUUGUAACUAACAUUUGGAGGCUUGUUUAAAGAAUGCAAAAGUGAUUAUAGUACUAAUUACUAUUCUAAAGUCAUGUUAUACUUUAAAUUAUUCCUCUUAUGGCCAAUCUUCUAUUUAAGCACCUCCAUCCUCUCUUCUUCCUUCAACAAACUCAGUAGUAUUCAUAUUUCUUUAGUUUGUUGUGGCAACUGGAGUAAAUGCAGACCGAGAGAGCGCGUUGUGCCGGAUAUUGAAGGACUACAAGGGUUCGGAGGAGAGGUUAUCCAUGCUUAAGAAUAGAAACCUGGUGAAAAUACAGAGGAAAAAAAGGUCUUGGUUGUGGUGUGGAAAUUGAGGCAUGGAAGUAUCAGCUGAUCAUUGUGCAACCACAAUGCUAGAUCAUGAGUCGUAGUUCAAAGCUCAGUAAGUCAUCAAUGUUAGUCUCAUCUCCCUGUCUAACAUUCAGAACUGGAUACUACAUUAGAAUAUAAUCUAAUCGCGUAGAUUUUUCUGUUCCCCAGGUUCAAAAGGCCAUUAAGUGGACCUUUGGAGCUGAAGAACACGCGUGGAAGAGACCUGUUCUUGACAUUCAUGGCUCACGAUGGUCCUACAGCUAAUCCUUUUUGAAGGCAUGCUCCUACAGCUAAUCUCGAUGGUCUAAUCCAACUAUAACCGGUUUCUUAAUCCAGACACAGGAGAACCAGAGAAGUCAUUUUAAUCCAGAAAUGUAAACAUACUAAACUGUAGGAAUUAAGGCCUGAUUCAAUUUCACUCCAGAAUGUAAACAUACUAAACUGUAGUAAUUGAGGCCUGAUUCAAUUUCACUCCAGAAUCUUUGUAGAGAGAUAGUAUUUAAGAUGGCCAGAAAUUUAUACAGAUUUUGAAAAUGCGAC